CGUGGGUAACCCACCUCGAUGAUUGGGACAACCCGGGGAAACUCGGGCUAAUACCAAAUGUGCUGACGGUUCAUGAGGACCAUCAGUAAAGAUAGCUUCGGCCUUCGCAUCGAGACGGGCCCGCGGCCCAUUAGCUUGUUGGUGAGGUAACGGCUCACCAAGGCGACGAUGGGUAGCUGGUCUGAGAGGACGAUCAGCCACACUGGGACUGAGACACGGCCCAG
RNAcentral lists this ribosomal RNA (224 nucleotides) under uncultured bacterium. RNAcentral describes it as "partial 16S ribosomal RNA". It matches the Rfam family "Bacterial small subunit ribosomal RNA", at positions 116 to 334 of the family's 1533-position model. The record is from RNAcentral.